AAUGAACGUUGGCGGCGUGGAUUAGGCAUGCAAGUCGAGCGUGUACCCGCAAGGGGAAAGCGGCAAACGGGGUAGGAACGCGUAGGUCACGUACCCCUCGGCCGGGGAUAGCCACGGGAAACUGUGGGUAAUACCCGAUGACGCCGAGAGGCCAAAGGUGUGAUUCCGCCGGGGGAGCGGCCUGCGUAGUAUUAGCUAGUUGGUGAGGUAACGGCUCACCAAGGCGAAGAUGCUUAGGGGGUGUGAGAGCAUGACCCCCACCACUGGGACUGAGAUACUGCCCAGACACCUACGGGUGGCUGCAGUCGAGAAUCUUCGGCAAUGGGGGCAACCCCGACCGAGCGACGCCGCGUGUGGGAUGAAGGCCCUUGGGUUGUAAACCACUGUCAGAGGGGAUGAAACGAUCAUGGGUUCUCCCAUGGUCCUGACAUAGCCUCAGAGGAAGCACGGGCUAAGUUCGUGCCAGCAGCCGCGGUAAUACGAACUGUGCAAACGUUUAUUCGGAAUCACUGGGCGUUAAA
Molecule: ribosomal RNA, 521 nt
Filed under: uncultured bacterium
Lineage: Bacteria
Description: bacterial SSU rRNA
Rfam family: Bacterial small subunit ribosomal RNA
Source: RNAcentral